This 939-nucleotide ribosomal RNA is filed under the name uncultured bacterium. RNAcentral describes it as "bacterial SSU rRNA". It matches the Rfam family "Bacterial small subunit ribosomal RNA", at positions 62 to 1001 of the family's 1533-position model. The record is from RNAcentral.
ACGAAGACUGCGCGGCGGAACUCUCCGGACGUAAGAUGCGCAGGACUGAGUGGCGGACGGGUUGAGUAACGCGUGGGUAACCUGCCCUGUACAGGGGGACAACAGCUGGAAACGGCUGCUAAUACCGCAUAAGCCUACAGUGCCGCAUGGUACAGCAGGAAAAACUCCGGUGGUACAGGAUGGGCCCGCGUCUGAUUAGUUAGUUGGCAGGGUAACGGCCUACCAAGACAACGAUCAGUAGCCGGCUUGAGAGAGUGGACGGCCACAUUGGGACUGAGACACGGCCCAAACUCCUACGGGAGGCAGCAGUGGGGAAUAUUGCACAAUGGGGGGAACCCUGAUGCAGCAACGCCGCGUGAGCGAAGAAGUAUUUCGGUAUGUAAAGCUCUAUCAGCAGGGAAGAAAAUGACGGUACCUGACUAAGAAGCUCCGGCUAAAUACGUGCCAGCAGCCGCGGUAAUACGUAUGGAGCAAGCGUUAUCCGGAUUUACUGGGUGUAAGGGGAGCGCAGGCGGUACGGCAAGUCCGAUGUGAAAGCCCGGGGCUCAACCCCGGGACUGCAUUGGAAACUGCCGCACUAGAGUGCCGGAGAGGUAAGUGGAAUUCCUAGUGUAGCGGUGAAAUGCGUAGAUAUUAGGAGGAACACCAGUGGCGAAGGCGGCUUACUGGACGGUAACUGACGCUGAGGCUCGAAAGCGUGGGGACCCUUCAAGGGUUACAUACCCUNNUAUUCCACACCAUAAACGACCCUGGUAGAGUGUCGGGGCACAACAUGCUUCGGUGCCGCAGCAAACGCAUUAAGUAUUCCACCUGGGGAGAACGUUCGCAAGAAUGAAACUCAAAGGAAUUGACGGGGACCCGCACAAGCGGUGGAGCAGGUGGUGUAAUAAGAAGCAACGAGAAGAACCUUACCAGACCUUGACAUCCUGCUGACAGCCC